Non-coding RNA from Solanum lycopersicum (tomato), 73 nucleotides. The record is from Rfam. Lineage: Eukaryota; Viridiplantae; Streptophyta; Magnoliopsida; Solanales; Solanaceae.
GGGCCUGUAGCUCAGAGGAUUAGAGCACGAGGCUACGAACCACGAUGUCGGGGGUUGAAUCCCUCCUCGCCCA